UCCCACAGUUGACAGUGCAUGUGAGAGCACAAACCAAGCCAUGAAGUCCAAGGAAUUGUCUGUAGACCUCCAAGACUGAAUUGUGUCGAGGUACAGAUCUGGGAAAGGGUACAAAAAAAUGUCUGCAGCAUUGAAGGUCCCGACGAGCACAGUGGUCUCCAUCAUUCGCAAAUGGAAGAAGUUUGGAACCACCAGGACUCUUCCUAGAGCUAGCCGCCCGGCCAAACUGAGCAAUCGUGGGAGAAAGGCCUUGGUCAGGGAGGUGACCAAGAACCCGAUGGUCACUUUGACAGAGCUCCAGAGAUCCUCUGGAGAUGGGAGAACCUUCCAGAAGGACAACCAUCUCUGCAGCACUCCACCAAUCAUGGCCUUUAUGGUAGAGUGGCCAGACGGAAUCCACUCCACAGUAAAAGGCACAUGACAGCCCGCAUGGAGUUUGCCAAAAGGCACCUAAAAGGACUCUCGGACCAUGAGAAACAAAACGAUCUGGUCUGAUUAAGAUUGAACUCUUUGGCCUGAAUGGCAAGAGUCAUGUCUGGAGGAAAACCUGCUCUGGACCUCAGACUGGGGCGAUUGUUCACCUUCCAACGGUCCUAAGCACACACCCAAGAUAACAAAGGAGUGGCUUCGGGAUAAGUCUGUGAACGUUCUUGAGUGGCUCAGCCAGAGCCCAGACUUGACCCCGAUUGAACAUCUUUGGAGAGAUCUGAAAAUGGCUCUGCACCGACGCUCCCCAUCAAACCUGAUGGAGCUUGAGACGAUCUGCAAAGAAGAAUGGGAGAAACUGCCCCAAAAUAGGUGUGCCAAGCUUAUAGCAUCAAGACUUGAGGCUGUAAUUGUUUCAACAAAGUAUUGAGUAAAGGAUGUGAUAUUUUAGGGUUUUAUUUUUAAUAAAUUGGCAAAAUGUCAUUAUGCAGUAUUGUGUAGAAUGUUGAGGAAAAAACAAUUUAAUCCAUUUUGGAAUAAGGAUGCAACAUAACAAAAUGUGGAAAAAGUGAAGGGGUAUGAAUAAUUUCCGGAUGCACUGUACAUCCUAGCCCUCUUCCAGUGCAUCUCUGCUGGGGAGAAGAUCCAAGAAUGUUCCAUCCAUGAAAAGCCACUCGAGAGAGAAUCAAGUGCAGAGUUUAUUUCUGUCGGUGAGUCACACUAUUGAGUCUUAAUACCAGCAGUGUGGCAGAUUAACCUAAAAGAAUGAGUCACACAAUAAGUACGCACUUAGAAAUUAAGUUGGAAGUAACACACUUUUGACCUAUUUUUUUGUAUAGUUAAAUAUUGUGUUUGAGUGAUUUCAUUAAGUUAUGGAGAGCAGGCAUCCAUAACAGAUCACUAGUAUUGUUCACAGGUGUGCACCUUUUUAUAUUGGCCGUAGUACAGCGUUCCUGCCAGCAACUUUAGUAUAAGAUAUGCCACUCUGGCCCCCAUCUGGUGGUGUAUUUAAGAAUGACCCUGUCGCAGACAAUUGCUGGUUCCAGCAUCUGAAAGAGGAUCUCAUUCCAUUUUAUAACAUUGUGAAGAGCUAUACUUUCGGACAUUAACUGUUGAAGAAAAAUAACUUUUAUAGAACAAACUUAAAAGCAAAUAAUAAAACAUUCACACCCCUGGAAAUCCUUUAGGUUUGUGAAUUUGAGACCUAGGAUUUGGUCAUUCACUCAAUAAGGUUGUUACUGAUAAGUGUAGAAAGAGCGACUUAUCCUGACAUACGCCAAUUCUUAACUUUGAAUUUGGGAGACUGAUGAAUGAGGAGCAGCUGCAAAUGCAUUUUAAAUGUGCAUGACUUAUUAUUUUAAUAUUAAAUGUCCAGAAAAGUCAGAAACUCAAAUAUAUUCUGUUUAAUAUAGACUAGGAAAAAAAAGAGAGCAAAUAUUAACAUCAGAGAAACUAGAUACAAUUAUUUGGAUCUUUGUUAAAAAAUCUAAAUGGUUGCAGAUACAUAUUCUGUCGAUCAACUAACAUGUAACAGCUCUUACUCUUUACAGACACAGGUUUGACUCACCCAUAGGUGCACGAUUAGACCUGUAUCCGCCGCAAAAUCCUCCUGCAAAGCUGCUGGUGAUAGGUAAAAGGUAGAUGUCAAAAAUGAAACCUUUUCGGGAUCGUCUCGGUGUGGCAACUCCACCCUCUUGAUCCUGGCAUCUCCCAGGUGUUUUCCAUCAGUCGCUAAUUAGUGCUCAUCCUGCGGUCACGCUCUCUCUACAUACUUCCACUCAGUUUGCGCGUUCGCGUGGAGGGUCCGCCAUAUUAAUUGCCGUUUCAAACCAAAACGGGAAGGAGAAGUGGGGAAGGAGAAGUGGUGGCAACAGCAAGCCACCAUGGAUGCCAGCUUGCAAACUACACUCAACUCUAGAUAAUCUGGGCAAUGGUAUCUGCAGUGGUGUAACUGGACCCCUCCAUACUGUAAGGAUGGCCACUGGUUUCUCCAGGCAAGGAUAACCACCAUCACCAAGGAGAACGCAGCCAUCUGGUGGAUACAGUGCCUGGCAGAAGAUGGGGCUGUUGCGCAAAACUCUGGCAUCAUGUACAGAGGCCUGGAUAACCGAUAAACACCUCAAGGAAUCUGCCACUUGCAGAGAUCGCCUGCAUUUGUAUUGAUGGAAACGGCUUGUAGUUAAUGUAAUCCCUGUGGUGCUGGUUCCCUGGAGGUUUAAUCCUGAUAUGGCUUCCAUCAAAGGCACCAGCAGCAUGGACAAAGGCUGGACUCUGUGCACGCUGGCAGAAGCCCUUUUGUGGCAGCUCAUCUGGUGUUGGCAGUGAAAUCAAGCGAGGUCAAGGAAAGAUGUGAAGUGUCACGGAGCGUGUUUGGACCCAAAUGCAGCACACGGUGAACCAGGAACGGUUGCAAACGACGUUUAAUGUCGACGCUUGGGAGGUACAGGGCAGGACAGCUGCUCAGCUGCUGUUUUCAUUUUAUCCAUAGUGUACAAUUAAACAGUGCCGGCGGAUGUUAUUGACAGGCAAUAGUGCGUCACUUUAAAUAUUACUGCCGCAAGGAAUUGUGGGACGCUAUUAUCUAAAUAGGUGUAUCCAUAAAGUGUUCCCUAUGCUAAAGGAGAUGAGAAAGGAAGCACCUUUCCUUAGCAUUUAGAGAAUUCGAAAAGCUCUUAACAUUGCUGCCAUUUAAUACUUCCGGGUCAUUUCACUCGGUUAAGAACCUUCCUCAGCUGCAGCCCAAGAGUCUGAGGAGUUUCAAGAUUGGGUCAAGACAGAACCCUAUUGUCCUGUUGUGUUACUGUGAUAUAACUUCGAUCAGAAUCCUUUUGGAUUUAGAAAUGUGAUAAACAACUAGUGAUUCAACUCAUUGCCAGGUCAUCAAAUGCUGACGUUUUGUCACAGCCCUCGGCACCACAAUUACGUAGGCUACAAAGGGAGAUUUUUGAAUGGGACUUUUACCUGGUUAAAUAAAACGUGGAGAAAUGGCGUACUCCAAAGCUGCAACUGACGUCAAAUGACAUUUAUGUAAGUUCCAAGUAUAUGAAAUGUCAACCACUUUAUUUCAAAUGUAUGCUAAAGAAGGUCACACAACAACGAAUCUCCUGAGUCAUCUUCACAGUUGUGUCCUGUUUAUCUGUUCACAAACAGCUCUGUGUGUGUGUGUGUGUGUGUGUGUGUGUGUCUUUCUGGCGUACAGGUUUACAAUAUUUUACCCUUUUUUUCCUCUCAAAGUUCUCUAUUUCUGGCAUUGGAAUGUAAUUACUCCAAAUCUGUAAACGUCAUGAAAGAAUAAUAACAUUGCAACUGUAAAAUCACCUAAAUAUUGUAAGGUUCACCGAUUCAUGUAAGGUUAUCAAUUCAGCAAUGAGAGAUGGAGAGGAAAAACAAGAAGAUUAAACGGAGUAGUCAAACUGUCACUAUAGUUCACGACAUCGGAGUCCAAUUUUCUUUAUUUAUUAUCAAAGAAUGUCCUGGCCAGCUGCUUCUCUCUUCAUGUCUUUUGUCUUUUGGUAGACACUCAAUACCCAAAAAUUCAGUGCAUUAUCAUGACUUCAUCACACUGGGGACAUCGUGUAGGCCUUAACAGGAUUCACUCUCUUUUGAAAACACGAGGCUUGCAUGAUAUUGUUUUAUUCCAAAUCCUUAAGCCAGAGUAAACCUUUCUGUGUGGCCGAAAGCAUCAGAGACAGCAUACGGUCUGAAAUGUUGAGAAUUUGUUGGUCUUUCAAGGUUUAUUAUAGCAGUACGCAGAUAGUGUGUGUUGACCUCUUUACAUGAUGUGGCUCUUACAGCACCAAGUUGAUACGCCACCAGCAUUCUGUCAUCAUCCUGUACUAUAGUUGUGUCUCCAGGAUGUUCUCAUGCCACCUUUUUUAAAUAUGACUCAUGUUUCAGGUCAAAUUGUUCACUUUUUUUAUCUUUAGCUGUGAAGAUUAAAAGAGGUUAACCACAUGGACUGUGUGUUUCAGUCAGGUGUUGUGAAAUAGUGGACGGAGAUGAUGCAGUAAAGAGUGAACGGAAGGAAGUUUUGGUGAAAUGUUUGUUGUGUCCUUGAUGCUGAACAUUGCUUAAGUGAAAUGGAGAAUUCAUUGCAGUACUUUAUGUACUCUUCUGUGCUGCGUAUGAAAAAUACACAGCGCUGGAAAUGCAAUAUUAAAAAAGCUUUAUUAAGUUGUUAAAACAAAUACAAAAUUUAAAUACAAAUUAACAUACACAUUAUUACUAAAUGCAAAAGAAAAUAGCCCUAU
Long non-coding RNA from Cottoperca gobio, 4676 nucleotides. RefSeq lists it as uncharacterized. The record is from RefSeq and is a predicted model, not a curated record. Lineage: Eukaryota; Metazoa; Chordata; Actinopteri; Perciformes; Bovichtidae. The transcript has 3 exons.